AAUAUUGCACAAUGGGCGCAAGCCUGAUGCAGCGACGCCGCGUGAGGGAUGACGGCCUUCGGGUUGUAAACCUCUUUCACCAGGGACGAAGCGCAAGUGACGGUACCUGGAGAAGAAGCACCGGCCAACUACGUGCCAGCAGCCGCGGUAAUACGUAGGGUGCGAGCGUUGUCCGGAAUUACUGGGCGUAAAGAGCUCGUAGGCGGUUUGUCGCGUCGUCUGUGAAAUUCUGCAACUCAAUUGUAGGCGUGCAGGCGAUACGGGCAGACUUGAGUACUACAGGGGAGACUGGAAUUCCUGGUGUAGCGGUGAAAUGCGCAGAUAUCAGGAGGAACACCGGUGGCGAAGGCGGGUCUCUGGGUAGUAACUGACGCUGAGGAGCGAAAGCGUGGGUAGCGAACAGGAUUAGAUACCCUGGUAGUCCACGCCGUAAACGGUGGGUACUAGGUGUGGGGCUCAUUUCACGAGUUCCGUGCCGUAGCUAACGCAUUAAGUACCCCGCCUGGGGAGUACGGCCGCAAGGCUAAAACUCAAAGGAAUUGACGGGGG
This 549-nucleotide ribosomal RNA is filed under the name Gordonia amicalis. Its description in RNAcentral is "bacterial SSU rRNA". It matches the Rfam family "Bacterial small subunit ribosomal RNA", at positions 360 to 919 of the family's 1533-position model. The record is from RNAcentral. Lineage: Bacteria; Bacillati; Actinomycetota; Actinomycetes; Mycobacteriales; Gordoniaceae.